Molecule: non-coding RNA, 48 nt
Filed under: Alexandrium minutum
Lineage: Eukaryota; Dinophyceae; Gonyaulacales; Pyrocystaceae
Source: RNAcentral
CUUUUUUUUUUUUUUUUUUUUUUUUUUUUUUUUUUUUUCCUUGUUCAU